RNAcentral lists this ribosomal RNA (712 nucleotides) under Sarcophaga peregrina. RNAcentral's name for it is "eukaryotic LSU rRNA". It matches the Rfam family "Eukaryotic large subunit ribosomal RNA", at positions 72 to 656 of the family's 3401-position model. Lineage: Eukaryota; Metazoa; Arthropoda; Insecta; Diptera; Sarcophagidae. The record is from RNAcentral.
GGAUUUUCUUAGUAGCGGCGAGCGAAAAGAAAUCAGUUCAGCACUAAGUCACUUUGUCUUUAUGGCAAAUGUGAGAUGCAGUGUAUGGAAUGUCAAAUUUCUAGUAUGAGAAAUUAACGAUUUAAGUCCUUCUUAAAUGAGGCCAUUUACCCAUAGAGGGUGCCAGGCCCGUAUAACGUUAAUGAUUACUAGAUGGCAUUUCCAAAGAGUCGUGUUGCUUGAUAGUGCAGCACUAAGUGGGUGGUAAACUCCAUCUAAAACUAAAUAUAACCAUGAGACCGAUAGUAAACAAGUACCGUGAGGGAAAGUUGAAAAGAACUCUGAAUAGAGAGUUAAAUAGUACGUGAAACUGCUUAGAGGUUAAGCCCGAUGAACCUGAAUAUCCAUUAUAGAAAAUUCAUCAUUAUGAUUUUAAUAUUUAUAAUAUUAUAAUAAUAGUGUGCAUUUUUUCUGUAACGGACAUUGUAAUCUAUUAACAUAUAUAUAUUUAUCAAAAGAUCAAUGAUGCGUAAGUUUAUUCAAAUUAUUUUGCUUGCAAUUUAACAUAGAAUAAAUGCUCUUGAUUUGAUAAAGUGUUGAUAGAUUUAUUGUAUAUAGUGCUUAAAUAUUUAUAUUUUAUAAUAGCAUAUUAAUCAUUGAUUUUUAUGUUUAUUAUAUGCACUUAUAUGAUUAACAAUGCGAAAGAUUCAGGAUACCUUCGGGACCCGUCUUG